Molecule: long non-coding RNA, 2601 nt
Filed under: Trifolium pratense (red clover)
Lineage: Eukaryota; Viridiplantae; Streptophyta; Magnoliopsida; Fabales; Fabaceae
Description: long non-coding RNA (TPRA_LNC001992)
Source: RNAcentral
CUCCACUUCUUCUUGUUCUUCCUAUUCUUUCUCUCUUUGUGAUGGCACAUAUGGCGUGAACUUCCGGUGAGAUUGUUUUUCAUAUUCUUCUUGUUCUUUGUUAUCGUUAUGAUAAUUUUUCAUUUUUUUUUUCUAACAUUGAUUUUAUUUAUUUUUUCAUAGAUAAUUUUCUCCUAUUAAUCUUGUGUUGUUUUCUCUCCACUAGAUCUAUGAGGAGCGAAACAAAAAUUGAUUCGUGGACUAACUUCAUAGGUGUGACUGAAUGGAAAUCAUCAGUGAUCGCUUUUUCUAUUCCUUUGAAGUGCUUUUAUCUAUUUUUCUUGUUGACAAUUUUGAACGUAAUCUCUGAUUUAACGACCAUGAUUUCUUUGAUUAUUAGAUAUAGAUAAAAUUGCGAGCAUAAGAUGACCUGAUUUUGUCUUGUAUUUUAAAAAGGUAUAAAAUAAUGAAAUUUAUAUAUUUUCAGCUUCUUUAUUUAUUAGUGUAGUUAAAUUUAAAUUUAUUUCUUUAAUUUAUAUAAGUAACAUAAUUUUUUUUAUUUGAAUUUGCUGCAUGUCAAAACAUGGUCUAGUAAGUGUCUUGAAAUUUUAUAUACAAUUUCCAGUUAUAUUAGUACUAUGUGGUAUGACUUAUAUAAUAUAUGAAUAUUACUUAUAUAGGUGGAGGAGAAGAAAAGAGGAAGGCAAAUUAAAAACGCGGUGAUUAGAUAGAUUUCCGUUUUUUUGAACAGGUAAGUAUGGAUCUAAUCUAAGAGUAAGUUUGGUUAAGAUUAUUAAAAAACACAUUUUUUUAUAUUUUGACUAAGUUCUGUUUGUGUAUAAAUUUUGUAAAAAUAUAUUUUGUCAAAAAAUUUACUUAUAUGUUGAAAAUAAUUUUUUUUCGUUAAUUAGCUUUUGAAGAAAAACAUUUUUAAUAGAAGAGAAGGUAAUACAAAAUCUCUUUCAUAAUUUUAACCAUACACAAUAGUUUAUGUUAUUCUUUUAUUUUUCACAAGUAGAUUAUAGAUUAUGAUAUUCUUUAAAAUAUCUAAAUUAUUUAAUAUUAAAAUCAGUUUUCUUUUUGAUCUACAUUCUUGCCUUUAUUUUCCUUGAUUAUAUUAAAUAAAGUUUCUAAGAAAGUUUCAUGUUAUUGUAAUAUUCGAAACAUAGUUAUUCAUGAAUUAAUUUAGCGUUUAAAAUGUUAUAUAUAAUGUAUAUCACAUUAAGUAGCAAGUUGUUGACUUUCUCAUUAUGCUGUUAGUAUUUGGGGAGCUUCAUAAAGAAUGAAAUUAAUCACCUUUGGCUUUAAAAGAAAUUUUUUGUUGGAGGUUAAUUGUGUAGACUACUCCAUAAACAAUUAUAGAAAACUUUAAUCGUCGUGAAUACCAAAUUUAUUGAAGAUAUAUAUAAAAAAAUGCCAAUUUAUCACGAUUCAUAUUAAAAAAAUUAAAUAAUAAAAAUUUAUAUAUUAUUAUUUGCUAAAUUUUUUGUAGCCAUAUAUCUCAAAACAUCACGUGUUUGAUUAUCAACCCGUAUGUUCAUUUCAAUUGUCCAAUUCUUUGCUCUUUCUCUCACAGAAAAUAUUUGAGUUUCAAGUGGAGUAACAAACACCUUUUUCUCAAGAUUUUAUUUCUUAGAAGGAAUGUUUUAAGAGGUGGUUGUUACUCGACUUGAAGCUCGAAGAUUUUCUGAGAGUGGAAGAGCAUAGAAUUGGACUAUUGAAUUGAGUAAAUUGAUUGAUAAUGGAACACGAGAUGUUUUAAGAUAUGGCUACAAAUUUUUUAGGAAAUAAUAAAAUGAUUUUUUAUUAAUUAGUUUUUACUAUUACUAUGAAUUAUGAUAAAUUAGUAAUUUUUUUAUACAUCUUUAUAAAUUUGGUAUUUCAUGACAACUAAAAUUUUGUAUAAUUGUUUAGGCAGUAUUCUAUACAAUUACCCUCGAACAAAAACUUUCGUUCAAAGAUAGAAGUGAUUAAUUUCGUUCUUUAUGAAGCUCCUUCAAAUACUAACAAUAAGAAGAGAAAGUUGGUUGAACUUUCUACUGAAUUUGAUAUAUAUCAUGUUUAACAUUUCAAACAAUGAAUUAAUUAAAGCUUAAAUAUGAUUUUGGUCCUUGUAAAUAUGACUCAUUUUGAUUUUUGUCCCUUUAAAAAAACAUUUGAUUUAUACCCCUGUAAAAAAACUUGUUCUACCAAAAUAAUGUUGUACUGAAAUCCCUCAAAUUACAGAGAAGAAGAUCUAGAAAAUAGAAUGAUUUCCGAAAGAAAUUAAGAAGCAUGAGACAGAGGUUAGUUGAACUUUAUAGGAUAAAUGUAUGAAACUAGAUGAAGGGGAAAAGGAGGAUGUUGGAACUUUUGAGGACAUAUAUACAGAUGAGCUUGAGUAAAAUGACAAUUGGUUCUGUUUAUCGCUUUAAUAUAUUCAGCGUCUGUCUUGCUGCAUCACAUGCUAUAACAUUUUGUGUAACAUUGUGUUCACUGCGUACCAGAUUUCAAAGGUAUUAAGAUCAUUAAAUCCAAAAUUUGAUUUCAUAGUAGUAGCCUUACAAGAAGCAAAAUAUGUGAAAACUAUGAAGAUCAAAGAAUUGCAAAGUUCAUUAAAGAAUACAUUAACUUAUGGUGGUU